GGUCCUACUUUUUUUAUGCUGCUUUUUUUUUGGUGGUGCUGGGGAUUGAACUCAGGGCCUUGUGCAUGCAAGGCAAGCACCCUGCCAACUGAGCUAUAUCCCCAGCCCUUGCUUUUUCUUAUUUCCCUCCCUCUCUCUCCCUUCUUUCUUCUGCCCCCACAUUUCCAGUGUUCCCCUUUUCUCUCUAAUGGGUUUAGAAGUUCCCAUAUGUAUCUGAGUUAGCCCUGCCCCUCGAAUGGGCAUUCCAAGGCCGAGCAACAGGGCAUGGUGGAGCACGCCUGUAAUCCCAGCAGCUCAGGUGGCUGAGACAGGAGGAUUGAGAGUUCACAGUCAGCCUCAGCAAAAACAAGGCGCUUACAACUUGGUGAGAUUCUGUCUCUAUAGCUAGCUAGCUAGUCAUUUAUUUUAUUUAUUUAUUUAUUUAUGCUGGGGAUUGAACCCAGGGCCUUGUGCAUGCAAGGCAAAAACUCUACCAAUUGAGCUAUGUCCCCAGGGAGACCCUGUCUCUAACUAGAAUACAAAAUAGGGCUGGGAAUGCGGCUCAGCUCAGUGAGCUCAGUGAGUGAAUGCCCCUGAGUUCAAUCCCUGGUACCAACAACAACAAUAAUAAUACAAGACUGAGCAGCAUCCACCCUUGCUCAGGUUAAGUGCUGUUUGCAAGCAUUUCAGUGCUGCCCUCCCGUGUAAGCCCACAUACCAGACCCCCAGACUCGGUUGACUCGUUUGUUCUUGGGUCUGGGAUUGAACCCAGGGGCGCUCUAUCACUGAGCUACAUCCCCAGCCCUUUUUAUUUUUAUUUUGAGACAGGGUCUCAUUAAGUUGUCCAGGCUUGCCUUGAACCUGCGACCCUCCUGCCUCACCCUCCCAAGUUGCUGGGGUCACAGGUGUGGCCACCACGCAGGCUAUUUUAUUCUUGUGACUUGAUUUUUGUCCGAUUCUUUGAAAAACUUUACAGGAUGUGAUUGAAAUUUACUGACUCUACUGAUCAGUUUGGGGAGGUUGAUAAGAUGACAACAUUACACGUUAAGACUUUAUUUACCAUCUUUUUAAAAAUAUUUUUUAAGAUAUUGAUGGAUCUUUAUUUUAUUCAUUCACCCUGGCCAGCAGAAAUAUAGUUUUAUUUCAUUUAUUGCUAAGAAUGGAACCUGUGCCUCACACAUGGUAGGCAAGUGCUCCACCACUGAGCCACAAACCCAGCCCCCCACCCCUUUUUUUUUACCCUCUUUCAGCCAAGUUUUGUAAUUUUGUACAGAAAGUUCUUGUUCGUUUUGGGUAGAUUUAUUCCUAGAAUUGUUAUAACCUUGGAUUGGUGUUAUAAAAGGUACUUGUCAAGUACAACAUGUGAUUGUAAUUCAGAGUUUUCUCACGGAGCACCUGGCUCGCUUCCCCAGCAGGUCUGUCAGGGCCACAGCGCCCGCGGGGCUCCCCCUGUGGGCCCAGGCCAGCCUGCCUUCCAGAGGAACUGCCCCCGGUUGUCCUCAUGCUUUGAUGACUGAAGUUCACAACCCUAACUGCUCUCGUUUGUUUUUCAGGUUUUACUUUGUUGCUUGCUUAUUAAAGAACAUUCAAUAAGCAGCUUUAUUGAGUUACCCUUUGCACACAGCAUACCAUUCACUCACUCUAAGUGGACAAUUGGGUGAUUCUUUGGUGGACUACAGAGUCGUGCAACAUGACCACAAUUCAGCCUUAGACUGUCUGUAUCACCUAGAGGAUCUGGACUCCGUGUGUCCCUGUUCCCACCCUGCCUGAGAUAAGCAUGCACCCUUUCUGCCACUACAGGUUUGCUUUUUUAAAAAGCAUUUCAUUCACAAUGGUUUAUUAUACAUUUUAUUAAGAACCGUGAGAAAGGCGUCUGCAGGCUCCCAAC
Molecule: long non-coding RNA, 1867 nt
Filed under: Marmota monax (woodchuck)
Lineage: Eukaryota; Metazoa; Chordata; Mammalia; Rodentia; Sciuridae
Source: RNAcentral